UGAUGGCGAGUGGCGAACGGGUGAGUAAUACAUCGGAACGUGCCCUGUAGUGGGGGAUAACUAGUCGAAAGAUUAGCUAAUACCGCAUACGACUGAGGGUGAAAGUGGGGGACCGCAAGGCCUCAUGCUAUAGGAGCGGCCGAUGUCUGAUAGCUAGUUGGUGGGGUAAAGGCCCACCAGGCGACGAUCAGUAGCUGGUCUGAGAGGACGAUCAGCCACACUGGGACUGAGACACGGCCCAGACUCCUACGGGAGGCAGCAGUGGGGAAUUUUGGACAAUGGGCGAAAGCCUGAUCCAGCAAUGCCGCGUGUGUGAAGAAGGCCUUCGGGUUGUAAAGCACUUUUGUCCGGAAAGAAAUGGCUCUGGUUAAUACCUGGGGUCGAUGACGGUACCGGAAGAAUAAGGACCGGCUAACUACGUGCCAGCAGCCGCGGUAAUACGUAGGGUCCAAGCGUUAAUCGGAAUUACUGGGCGUAAAGCGUGCGCAGGCGGUUGUGCAAGACCGAUGUGAAAUCCCCGAGCUUAACUUGGGAAUUGCAUUGGUGACUGCACGGCUAGAGUGUGUCAGAGGGGGGUAGAAUUCCACGUGUAGCAGUGAAAUGCGUAGAGAUGUGGAGGAAUACCGAUGGCGAAGGCAGCCCCCUGGGAUAACACUGACGCUCAUGCACGAAAGCGUGGGGAGCAAACAGGAUUAGAUACCCUGGUAGUCCACGCCCUAAACGAUGUCAACUAGUUGUUGGGGAUUCAUUUCCUUAGUAACGUAGCUAACGCGUGAAGUUGACCGCCUGGGGAGUACGGUCGCAAGAUUAAAACUCAAAGGAAUUGACGGGGACCCGCACAAGCGGUGGAUGAUGUGGAUUAAUUCGAUGCAACGCGAAAAACCUUACCUACCCUUGACAUGCCACUAACGAAGCAGAGAUGCAUUAGGUGCUCGAAAGAGAAAGUGGACACAGGUGC
This 958-nucleotide ribosomal RNA is filed under the name Ralstonia pickettii. RNAcentral's name for it is "bacterial SSU rRNA". It matches the Rfam family "Bacterial small subunit ribosomal RNA", at positions 86 to 1041 of the family's 1533-position model. Lineage: Bacteria; Pseudomonadati; Pseudomonadota; Betaproteobacteria; Burkholderiales; Burkholderiaceae. The record is from RNAcentral.